Molecule: long non-coding RNA, 999 nt
Organism: Capra hircus (goat)
Lineage: Eukaryota; Metazoa; Chordata; Mammalia; Artiodactyla; Bovidae
Source: Ensembl
UUUGACUUUUCUGAGGGAUGUAUCUGUCCCACUGGUUAGGUUUUGAUUUAGUAGUGAAAUAUUGCUUGGAAGAUAUAUCAAUUGUUGUUAAUUACUGGUUAGUUGCUAAGUCACCGUCCAACUCUUUUGUGACCUCAUGAACUGUAGCCUGCCAGGCUCCUCUGUCCAUGGGAUUUCCCAGGCAAGAAUACUGGAGUGGAUUGCCAUUUCCUUCUCCAGGAGAUCUUCCCAACCCAGGGAUUGGGCUUGCAUCUCCUGCAUUGGCAGGCAGAUUCUUUACUACUGAGCCACCUAGGAUGCCUGAUAUAUUAGUAACUGAGUAUAAAAGGAAGUCCUCUCACACAUCAGUUUUCCUAAACUCUGUGAUAUGCAUAAUUUAUUAACACAAGUCCAAUGAAGCCUUACUUGACAAUAUUUGGCCUUGCUUCAACACUUUUGAGCCCCUUCCCUGUGACUGAGACAGCAGGAUGCCAUGAAGAGAGCCUGGGCUUUGGUGACACAGUCUGGCAUGUCCACUGUUCCUUAACUUCAUACUAGCCUGUCACCUUGAUCACAUGACUUCACCUUUCAAAGCCUCAGCGCUUUGUGAUGUUAACACAGGGAUGGCUGAGACAACUCCUAUCAAGUGCUGAGCUUCUUGACUGGCCUGGCCAGCACUGUUUUGUUGCUGGCAACCCACAUGUGAGAUGGCUGGCCGGUGCUGCCGUGUCAGCAAUUCUGUGGUCAGAGGACAUGACUUUCUGUUCUUACGCAGCAUACUGCAUUGUUUGGAGACCACACCUACCAUUUGCCCUCCAGAAGCUGAGUGCUAAUAUUGAUAGAAAUCCAGCUGCCUUCAGGCUGCCAGACAGGGACAAGAUCUUCAGUUCACCCCUGUUCAGUUGGGAAGGUGAGACAAAUUUAAAAAACAAUAGCUAUGGGACCAACAAACAACAGCUCAGCACAAGUAAUAUACUGCCUGUUUAGUUCAGCCUGUACUCAAUAUGCCUUGACUCUGGG